GGAGAGGUCUGCCGCGUUCAGGACGCUGUGCCGAAGCACGGUUGCAGACAGUGCUCCAUGUGGGUGCAUAGAAAGAUCAACUCUUUAAUCUGGCCCAGAUCUGCAUGAGCACUUAUAUGGUAGGAUUGAGAAGAAGGAACAAGAAGAUGAAUGAGGCAGGACUGCAUCUUUAAUGGUACUUCUGAAAUCUGUCUUGAAGGGACCUGCCUGAAGCCGCAUGCACAUCCUGUGACAAAGCAGAGACAUAAGUUCAGAU
This 256-nucleotide long non-coding RNA is filed under the name Numida meleagris (helmeted guineafowl). RNAcentral describes it as "lncRNA (ENSNMEG00000018712.1)". Lineage: Eukaryota; Metazoa; Chordata; Aves; Galliformes; Numididae. The record is from RNAcentral.